UACAUUCACUACUGUAAGUCGCUCUGGAUAUGAGCGUCUGCUAAAUGACAAAAA
Molecule: non-coding RNA, 54 nt
Organism: Salmo salar (Atlantic salmon)
Lineage: Eukaryota; Metazoa; Chordata; Actinopteri; Salmoniformes; Salmonidae
Source: Rfam